RNAcentral lists this ribosomal RNA (455 nucleotides) under Pionus menstruus (blue-headed parrot). RNAcentral describes it as "partial 16S ribosomal RNA". Lineage: Eukaryota; Metazoa; Chordata; Aves; Psittaciformes; Psittacidae. The record is from RNAcentral.
AUGCAGUGGGCUAAGAGCUAUUCAAAGGGGGUACAGCCCCUUUAAAAAGGAUACAACCUCCAUCAGCGGAUAACCUCACCCCACCUCAACCCCCGUGGGCCUUAAAGCAGCCACCCCUAAAGAACGCGUCAAAGCUCCACAAACUGAAAAAAUCUAAAAACAAUGCAAAUCCCUAAACCCAUAACAGGCCAACCUACAACAGUAGAUGAAUCAAUGCUAAAACGAGUAACCAGGAUACCAAAUCCCCUAAAGCGCCAACUUAAGCACCAUUAACAGCACAGCUACAAUAUCAAACCCCCGACCAAACAUUGAACACGCCCUGUUAGACCAACCCUGGAGCGCGCACUAGGAUGAUUAAAAUCUACAGAAGGAACUCGGCAAACCCAAGACCCGACUGUUUACCAAAAACAUAGCCUUCAGCCAAACAAGUAUUGAAGGUGAUGCCUGCCCAGUGA